RNAcentral lists this long non-coding RNA (200 nucleotides) under Theobroma cacao (cacao). RNAcentral describes it as "long non-coding RNA (TCAC_LNC001781)". Lineage: Eukaryota; Viridiplantae; Streptophyta; Magnoliopsida; Malvales; Malvaceae. The record is from RNAcentral.
UUCAAGCUUAGGAUAGUCUAUAGAUAGCUGAUUUCGUCGAGGAUCUACUUUUGGAUUUACAUCCUUAGAAAUCAAAGGUCUACCUUCUUGUACAUAUUUGUUUAUUUUGGGGGCCCACAUGUCAUUGUAGAAUAUUUUGUAUACCUGGCUGCGUGUGCCACUGUAUGUAUGAAUUUAUUUUGCUUUUACGCUACAAAAAU